UAUGAGCCAAUCAAGUAAAUGGGCAACUUCAGAAAAGACAUACAAAUAUGGGCAACUUGGGGGAGAAAAUCCAGCUAUCAUCAAAUGGAAUUGAAAUUUUCUGUGUGGAAUAAUGACUUACAGAUGAAUCAGUCAAGCACGUAGAUUCGAGAGGCGAUGUCCUGAACCAACCAAUCAAAUCCCUCAAGCAGUCCCUCCCCUGUGUAUGCACUACAGCCCAU
RNAcentral lists this unclassified non-coding RNA (221 nucleotides) under Hevea brasiliensis (rubber tree). The record is from RNAcentral. Lineage: Eukaryota; Viridiplantae; Streptophyta; Magnoliopsida; Malpighiales; Euphorbiaceae.